This 253-nucleotide ribosomal RNA is filed under the name uncultured bacterium. RNAcentral's name for it is "partial 16S ribosomal RNA". It matches the Rfam family "Bacterial small subunit ribosomal RNA", at positions 524 to 776 of the family's 1533-position model. The record is from RNAcentral.
UACGAAGGGGGCUAGCGUUGCUCGGAAUUACUGGGCGUAAAGCGCACGUAGGCGGCUUUCUAAGUCGGGGGUGAAAUCCUGGAGCUCAACUCCAGAACUGCCUUCGAUACUGGAGAGCUCGAGUCCGGGAGAGGUGAGUGGAACUGCGAGUGUAGAGGUGAAAUUCGUAGAUAUUCGCAAGAACACCAGUGGCGAAGGCGGCUCACUGGCCCGGUACUGACGCUAAGGUGCGAAAGCGUGGGGAGCAAACAGG